Molecule: ribosomal RNA, 483 nt
Filed under: uncultured bacterium
Lineage: Bacteria
Description: bacterial SSU rRNA
Rfam family: Bacterial small subunit ribosomal RNA
Source: RNAcentral
AUUGAACGCUGGCGGCAGGCCUAACACAUGCAAGUCGAGCGGCAGCGACUUAACUGAACCUUCGGGGGACGUUAAGGGCGGCGAGCGGCGGACGGGUGAGUAAUGGCUGGGAACCUGCCCGAUAGAGGGGGAUAACAGUUGGAAACGACUGCUAAUACCGCAUGAUGUCUACGGACCAAAGGAGGGGAUCUUCGGACCUUUCGCUAUCGGAUGGGCCCAGUUGGGAUUAGCUAGUUGGUGAGGUAAUGGCUCACCAAGGCGACGAUCCCUAGCUGGUUUGAGAGGAUGAUCAGCCACACUGGAACUGAGACACGGUCCAGACUCCUACGGGAGGCAGCAGUGGGGAAUAUUGCACAAUGGGCGCAAGCCUGAUGCAGCCAUGCCGCGUGUGUGAAGAAGGCCUUCGGGUUGUAAAGCACUUUCAGCAGUGAGGAAGGUUACGUAGUUAAUACCUGCGUGAUUUGACGUUAGCUGCAGAAGAAG